Molecule: ribosomal RNA, 462 nt
Filed under: uncultured bacterium
Lineage: Bacteria
Description: partial 16S ribosomal RNA
Rfam family: Bacterial small subunit ribosomal RNA
Source: RNAcentral
CCUACGGGUGGCAGCAGUGAGGAAUCUUGGUCAAUGGACUCAAGUCUGAACCAGCCAAGUAGCGUGCAGGAUGACGGCCCUCCGGGUUGUAAACUGCUUUUAGUUGUGAAUAAAAGGGGGCUCGUGAGCCCCGUAUUGUAUGUACCAUCAUAAAAAGGACCGGCUAAUUCCGUGCCAGCAGCCGCGGUAAUACGGAGGGUCCGGGCGUUCUCCGGAUUUAUUGGGUUUAAAGGUAGCGUAGGCCGGCUUUUAAGUCAGCUGUGAAAGUCCGCGGCUCAACCGUGGAAUUUCAGUUGAAACUGGAGGUCUUGAGUGCACACAGGGAUGCCGGAAUUCAUGGUGUAGCGGGGAAAUGCUGAGAUAUCAUGAAGAACUCCGAUCGCGAAGGCAAGUGUCCGGGGUGCAACUGACGCUGAGGCUCGAAAGUGCGGGUAUCAAACAGGAUGAGAUACCCGAGUAGUC